AUCAAAAACAUAGCUAAAUGUGACUACAUUUAGUUACGUCUGCUCAAUGAUUAUUUUAAAUAGCCGCAGUACCUUGACUGUGCUAAGGUAGCAUAAUCAUUUGGCUUAUAAUUGGAGUCUGGCAUGAAAGAAUUUAUGGGUAACAACUGUCUCCUAUACCUAUACUGAAAUUACUAAAUAAGUGAAAAUACUUAUAUAAACACAAUAGACGAGAAGACCCUAGAAAUUUUUUAGAAUAAGUUCUUUAAACUUUAAUAUUUUGUUGGGGCGACAGAAUAACAAAUAACUUAUUUUAUGAGUUAGAAUUAUAUUGUAUGAUAAAAUAAAUUACUCUAGGGAUAACAGCAUAAUGUAUUAAAGUUUGUGACCUCGAUGUUGGAUUAGGACCCUUAACAACCAGAAGUUUUUAAGUUAAGCUCUGUUCGAGCUAUGUUUCCUACAUGAUCUGAGU
RNAcentral lists this ribosomal RNA (451 nucleotides) under Cernuella sp. ET3. RNAcentral describes it as "partial 16S ribosomal RNA". It matches the Rfam family "Bacterial large subunit ribosomal RNA", at positions 1806 to 2610 of the family's 2925-position model. Lineage: Eukaryota; Metazoa; Mollusca; Gastropoda; Stylommatophora; Geomitridae. The record is from RNAcentral.